CAUCAGGCCUAAUUGGCUAAACAGCCCAAACACACAAUAAAUAGAACCAAGAUUGAAUCAAAGAAGCCCAAGUUAAUUAGCCCAUGAAGAAAAUGAAGUACCCAAAUUGAUCAAUCGGAAAUCACGAGGAGUAAGAGAGGAGACGAAGCGAUGAAACAGAGAAUGAUGAGAGAUGAUCUGAGAUUUUUAGGAGAGCCAAAUUUGAAGCAUCUGAGAAGCUUGGGGAGGGUUUGUGAGGCAGAUACUAGCUAUUCUGUUCCGGAUUAUUAGAUCUGCAUCUCGAAUCAAAGUAUCAAUUGAUUUGAAAGCGUUCCGAUGGAGACGAUUGUUACGCUCCGACCAAAUGCAAUAAAUCGAAGCUUGCCAUGCAAUUAGCAGAAGUUUUCGUCUUGGCUUUGAGACAGAGUAUGAGCUUAGCUGGGUGAGAAGUGUAUCCCAACUUCGAGAGGAUAGGUAGUUGCACUUGCUGGAGAGAAAAUCCCAAAUUGCACCUGAGAAGCUACAAUCGAAGAACAAAUGAGAGCGAGAUUCUGGACUAGCACUACAGAGAAGGCACGACGGAUCAGAGAAAGCGUUUCGAGAGGAUAGGUAGUGCCUCUUAACAAUCGUCUACAUCGGAAGACCAGUUGCUUGACCAGAAGUAGUGCCUUCUUGUGAAAGGUAAUCUCUGUAGUGCCUUCUUGUGAAAGGUAAUCUCUGAUUUUUCCAAGUGGAGACCAGUUGCUUGACCAGAAGUAGCAGUUCUCCCCCUUACCUACAGACUGUUUGAUCCAUGGUAUACCAGUGAGCCCAAACAGAACCAGGCCUGAAGAACAACAACCAAAUCAGCUUUAGUGCAGAAGUAGUAUUCCAGCUGGAAAUGUCCUUCAACCCAAGACCCCCUUCUUCCUUGCUACGACACACAUUCUCCCAAGAAACUUUAGCAGAGGUAAGCCCUUCAGUUUUACCCUUCCAAAGGAAUUUAGCAGAGAUGGAGUUAAUUUCCGAAAUGCAUCCUUUAGGGAGAAUGAAAGCAUUUGACUAGAAGUUAAUAAUCCCAGCAAUGACUGUUGAAAGCAGUUGCAACCUUCCUGCAAAAGAUAAAGACCUGACUGUCCAAGAGUGAAGUUUGGAUUUUAUAGACUGAAUAAGAGAAACACACUGCAGCAAGGAGAUUUUCUUCGUGCAGAGGGGAACGCCAAGAGAACAGAGACGUCUUUUCGAUGUUAACAGCAAGUCCAGAUCUGUUUUCAAAAUCCUUCAACACUUCCAAGAUAUUUGUUAUGGAGUUAAGGGAGCCAUCGGAGAAGAUUAGCAGAUCAUCGGCAAAACAGAGUUGGGAGGAACCCUGAAGAGAAGAAUCUUUGAAUGGCUGAAAGCACCUCAUGACCAACUAUUGGCCAAGCAGCUUUGAAGAACGAAGAAGUAAACCCAUCAGGCCCAGGAGACUUGUUGGGGUUCAGCUUGAGUAGAGUCCUUGUGAUUUCAGCAGUUGUAGGAAAGGAGGAUAAGACUGAUUUAUGGUGCUCACAACAGUUAAAGCUUUGAAGCUCCAAAAACCAGGAGAAAGGAGAACUGAUAUGCAUCAAAUAUUGAGGGGCAAGAAACUGCUGGAAAUGAGAGACCGCAAUAUCACUCAUUUCCUCCGGGUCAGAAGUAGAUGAACCAUUAUCCAAGCAUAAAGAUCUGAUGGAGUUGUAGGAUGCUCUAGCCAUGGCAACUCUGUAGAAGAAAGUAGUGUUCUGGUCCCCUAGGUGUAACCAAUUGAUUCUGGACUUCUGUUUGAAAAAAGACUCCUCAAUUCCUCUGAGGAAUAACCAUUUAGAAUGGAGGUCCCUUUCAGCUUGGAAAAUGUCUGAGGAUGGAUUAUCUAUAGCUUGAACCUGCAUAACUUUUAACAAACUGUUAGUAACACUCACUCUCCUCUGAAUAUCUGAAAAGCUCUCUUUGUUUA
This is a long non-coding RNA of Arabidopsis lyrata subsp. lyrata, 1933 nucleotides long. RefSeq lists it as uncharacterized. Lineage: Eukaryota; Viridiplantae; Streptophyta; Magnoliopsida; Brassicales; Brassicaceae. The transcript has 4 exons. The record is from RefSeq and is a predicted model, not a curated record.